RNAcentral lists this long non-coding RNA (1880 nucleotides) under Equus caballus (horse). Its description in RNAcentral is "lncRNA (ENSECAG00000049442.1)". Lineage: Eukaryota; Metazoa; Chordata; Mammalia; Perissodactyla; Equidae. The record is from RNAcentral.
AGCCUCCACUCUCUCAAAGGCACUGAUCUAGGAUCUGUGGGGAUAAAGGAGAUGCUGGCCCCCAUCUGAUAUGAACAACGCCCUGGCUUCCAGGAGCUGGCUCUCCGUGGAGAGGGAAAGAGUGCUGGCACGCCUUCGGAACACUGCACGUGAAGCAUAGAGAAGAUGCUUAUAUAUGGUUCAAAACACAUAAAUCACUAAAAAUGGAAAAAGAGGACUGGGCCGCCUUAAGAUUCCUCAGAGCCUGAGAACUAAAUGUUGCUUUGCGUUGGGUUGACCUCUAAGGCAAUCAGAAUAAGACAUAAAAAGCUGUCUAUUGCUGCCAAGACUGAAACCAUUUUUCCAAAAUGGGUUUGCCGAGACAAAAGGAGAUGCUUCUGCGCCAAGGAGAGGAGAAGGAGAGUGAGUUGCACAGUCCCAAGGAACUGUUGCAUUUAUUCAGGUUUCUGCAGCAAUCCGGCCCUUUGCUGUGAUAGCAAAGCAUAAGGAACAGUCAAAAGGCAGAACCAGCAACACUCACCUUAUCAGGCCUCAGGAUGCUAUUUUUUCUAUAAACAACACGGUGCAAAGGUUCAGAGAGGGCAGAAGCCUGACCUGAGGCCGUAUUUCCACUACUCAUCAUUUUUGACAGUUACAAGAAACCAAGAAAAGGGAUUUUCUUGUCUAAUUAUUUCUAACCUUAAAGGUCAGGGAGUGAGUCCUUCUCGAGAUUAGGACGCACUGAACUCAUCCUGCGGAAAGGGCGCGGUGCAUGGUCUGCAAAGCCUGCCCCGGAACGUGGGCUCACUCGCUUUUCCCAUCUCAGAGGAAGGCACAGGGGAGGCGAGGAGCCCCCGGGGCGCUUCAUAUCACAUCGCCUCCCCUCCGCCGGGACUGGGUAGCAUCCACCCGGUGAUGGAACCGUCUGACCGCAGAGCACGAACUGAGCCCGAGGCUGAGCCCGGGCCGGGCGACCCCAGAGAGUUAUCAACAACCCUCAGCACUGCUGUCUGCAGUUCACGACGACUGAGUGGAGAGUGCAUUGCCCCAAAGAUAGCUGGGAGGAAUGCAGAGAGGUCUCCAGAAGCAUGUACUUCGCUGCACUUGAAACUUGAGGGAAAUAAUUCAGAAAUCUCCCAGAAGAGAGAAAUACUGUAUCUUCAAAUUUUACCUAUCACGAUGAUUCUUACAGGCUUUGAUUUCUCAACGAUGUUGCACGGAAAUCAGAUUCCUCCUGUUUAGAAAUUCGCGUGCCCCUGCUGAUUGUUUCCCGGCGGCAGCCCCUGCGAUGUGGCACGUGGACGCCCUGAGGAGAUGCCGCUGUCGCCCUGUUGGAGCAUCUGAUGUGGGCUCGGAAAUCUGCUCCCACGCAGGCAGCUGCACCUGAAUUUGCAGUUAUUUCCCAUUGUCCUCAGAAUACCUCUCCCUCUUUGGUGCCUGUGUAUCUCUGCACCUCCAGGUCCACGCAGAGGUGCAGAGAUACACAGAUACACACAGAUCUUUGCUGUAAGAUCUUGGGCAAGUCAGUUCACCUCUUUGUGCCUCAGCUGUCGUCUGGGAACGGGGAGAGGGCUGCACAGGGUGAACUCAAGAUCCCUGGCAACUCUUGCUUGUUAUUCAGUGACUCCACCAGUCCUUAAUAUUCCAAGAAGCGUUUUUCAGUGCUUUGUUGGAAAUUGUUGAGUCACACAGGAAUGGCAAUUAUUAGAUGAGGUUGGAGUAUAAUGCUAUCUCCUGAAAUCAGAUUGGACUGAGGGAUGCUGAUGAGGCAUGCAAUGAGGUGUGGGAUGGGAAAGCGGAAUCAGAGUGCAGAGAUGGCUUGCCCUUGGCCAACAGACAAGAUCAGGCAAAUUCCCCACGCUCAAUGAAUGGCCAGCUGCAAUCUGAAACUCGACCCUUCC